RNAcentral lists this ribosomal RNA (425 nucleotides) under uncultured bacterium. RNAcentral describes it as "bacterial SSU rRNA". It matches the Rfam family "Bacterial small subunit ribosomal RNA", at positions 354 to 777 of the family's 1533-position model. The record is from RNAcentral.
GUGAGGAAUAUUGGUCAAUGGGCGGGAGCCUGAACCAGCCAAGCCGCGUGAAGGAUUAAGGCCCUAUGGGUCGUAAACUUCUUUUGUCAGGGAACAAAACAGAGAACGAGUUCUUUGCCGAGUGUACCUGAAGAAAAAGCAUCGGCUAACUCCGUGCCAGCAGCCGCGGUAAUACGGAGGAUGCGAGCGUUAUCCGGAUUUAUUGGGUUUAAAGGGAGCGUAGGCGGACAGUUAAGUCGGCGGUCAAAGCCCGGGGCCCAACCCCGGCCAGCCGUCGAAACUGGCGGUCUUGAAUGCGCACAAGGGAGACGGAAUUCGUCGUGUAGCGGUGAAAUGCUUAGAUAUGACGAAGAACUCCGAUUGCGAAGGCAGUCUCCUGGGGCGCGAUUGACGCUGAGGCUCGAAAGUGCGGGUAUCAAACAGGA